Molecule: ribosomal RNA, 593 nt
Filed under: uncultured methanogenic archaeon
Lineage: Archaea; Methanobacteriati; Methanobacteriota
Description: partial 16S ribosomal RNA
Source: RNAcentral
AUCAUUGCGAAUCCGUCUCUCUCUCAUACUUGAUGGAGGGGCGGCCUCUCCUUUCUUUCUCCUUUUUAGUGGGGGGGAGGGGGGCGCUUUCCCCCCCACUAUUUUAUGAGGGGGGGGACAACCCCCCCCCCCCCCCAAUAUAUUUUGGGGGGGGGGGGCCCCCUCCCGGGCCCCCCCGUUUUAAUUGUUUUAACCCCGCCCCCUCCCCCGGGGGGAAACCUUUUUUAAACCCCCCCGAGCUUUUUUUUUUAAUUUUUUAGACCAGGUUCAUGGCCGCCCCCCCCUUUUUCCCCAAAAUUUUUCCUUUUAUUUCAGCCAGAGAGUGGAGGGACCACCCCCUUAAAUACCCGCCUUCUCUUUUUUUUGUAUGAUGGCCACACUAACGGCCCCGUUUAUGAAAAUUGAAAGAAGGGAGAGGGCCACGGUAAUCCGUUUGCUCCGAAUCCUCUCGGAAACAAGCGGCCCACAAUGGCUAAGAAAAGGGGUUCCGACACAAAAAGCUGGACGAAACCUCAUAACUCCCCGUAUUUCGUAUUGAGGAAAUAGCUCGCCACUUCACCCCCCAGAGUAGCACAUAUAGCACUGCGGCGCCA